Long non-coding RNA from Medicago truncatula (barrel medic), 3356 nucleotides. RefSeq lists it as uncharacterized. The record is from RefSeq and is a predicted model, not a curated record. The transcript has 2 exons. NCBI's taxonomy places the organism in Eukaryota, Viridiplantae, Streptophyta, Magnoliopsida, Fabales, Fabaceae.
UGCCAAACCCUAAUCCUUAUUUUUUGGCUCCAAAUCGUUAUGGCCGUUAGAUGAAUUAUCCAUCUGUUUCCAAUAAACAAUUUCUUUCAAUUUUAAGUCACAAGUUCAUUGGUAACUACACUUCACACCAAUAUUCUCCUCUACUUUCCAAUAUUCACCUACCACUACCGAACUCUCUCUCCAUUGCCUCCCUCCGUCGUCUCAUCUUCCACUACCGAAGGCACAUCUCCUCCCUCCUCUUGGCCCACCACCGAAGACAACUCCCUGUCUUCAGCCUAAUUUCUUAUUUCCUUCCUGUUUACCACAAUUUUCUCACUCACAGGUUUUCUGCAACACAAAGCGGCGGAGGUCGGAGCUGGUUGUGAUGGACGGUCUCGCAAUUUAAAAGUUGUGUACCCAUUUGAUUAAUUCAUUCUCCAAGUUUCAAUUUAUCAUUCUUAUUUAAUCUUAAACUAAUUUUUUCUUUCUUCUUUUUGUUUUUGUUAGGUUAUCCACCUUCCUCUAAUCCCCCAAUCAUGAAAGUCAUCUCCCCCCUUUAUAGUUAUCCUAUUAAUUUCAAUUUUCAUUUUUUUUUUCCAUCUUCUGCUUAUAUUUUUUAGGAUCUGAGGGUAUCUGUCAUUGGCAUUUUAUUUUAAGCAUUGGGUUUUUAUUUCAUUCUAAUUUCUUGCUCUUAUACCCAACGCCUCUUUCUUUGUAGUGCUUUUAUUUCAUUCUAAUUUCUUGCACUUAUAGAUUAUUUUGUGAAUAUUUCCACCAAGUUUUUUCAUGUGCUCAAUGCUAAUUGCCCAAUCUUUCUAUAUGGCAGUUCCAAGGAUGAUUGCAUAACCUUUCAUCUUUACAUCACACUCCAUUUUUCACAUGUUAGUUACAUAAUUUUUCUCAAUUUUAUCUAAAUUUUUUCUCAAUUUUAUCUAAAUGGGUGAUUUGUUUCGACGUUUAUGUUUCUUUUGUAUCUAAAUGAGUGAUUUGUAUCUGUAUGAUUGUAUAGAUACAUUGUGUCGUCUAUAAAAACUUUUAACAAGGUUUGCUCUAACUUUGGAUAAAAUAGUAGAGUUUGAGUUAGAAGCUAACAUAUUGUGUAGUAUAAUGUAAAUUUGAUAUUUUCAAACUUGGCGGUGUUGUAUUCAUAUUUUUUAAACUGAUGGUGUUUUGGUCUGGAAGAAAGUAAUUUUGGUAUGUUUUGUGUUGCUUUUGUAUCUGCUGCUAUAGAGUUAUAAAUUGAUGGUUUGUCGGUUUUGUGUCUUGGUGUUUUGUUAAUGUCUAUUAUGUUAUUUUCCCAUUGAGUCCUGCUGUUUUUUCAGUAUAUGGCUGUUAAGGUUUGUCUUUUUGCCGGUUGUUGCUAAUGUAAUCUAUUUUCAAUUGUGUAUCUUUUCCUGUUAGUGCAGAGGUGUUGUAAUUUCUAUCCCAAAUCCGGUUAUGCCUUCAUGAUUGCAUUUUUUAACUACAAUUUUAGUGUUAUUUUAGAUUAAAUUGUUUCUGUUUGUUUUUUUAUUCUUUUCAAUCAACCAAUUAUAUUGAUAAACUACACAUCUAGGCACAAGGUAUAACCAGAAUGCACAAGAAGAUUACAUUAAAACUACCAAUGCACUGACGUAGGAAAACAGGAAAAAAAAAUAGCAAAAGCUUGCUGAAAAUAUCAAAUUAAAAUUUGCACUAAAACUGAACAUACCAACUGCAGGCAAAAAUGCCUAAAAAACCAUAUGCAAGUACAAAAGAAAAUUGCUUUGAACUGCAUACCCGACAGUAAAAACAAUGCAGAAUUUGGACGUUCCUCUUCAAAUAAUUGUUGGAGAUUGGUUUGUUUGUUUUUCAAUUUAGGAUUUGCAUAUUGGUGAUUUCACAAAUCAAGGUAAUUGUUCACAUAAAUAAUCGUCCGAAGGCAUAACCGGAUUGAAUGCAUGGAAGCUUUUUUUCUUCAUAUUUAUGGUUUUAGGAUAAAUAUGUUUAAAUGUCUUUGUGUAUAUCUACUUUGCUUUCAACUGAUUCUUUCUAUCUGAUUUCCAUUCAUGGCUUAGGUGAUUUUUGCUUUUGGUUGCUUUUGCUUUAGGUGACUUAUGAUUCUUCUAUUGUCUCUUAUGUUGCUGCCUAUUGAGCAAAAUCAAACCCUCCUUUCAAGUGAGCCUUGAAAUAAUCCAUAUCCUCGAAAUAAUCCAUAUCCUCAACAAAAAAUUGCUUCUUUAUUAUUUUUUUAUUUUUGCUGAUGUAUAAGUUUUACUCUGUUUCCUUACAUACACUAAUAUAACUUAUUUCAGUACUAAUGUAGGUAACAUGUGCCUUAACAUUGUUGAAAACGGAAUAAUGGAUUAACAAAUUAGGUUAUAGCGAUGAAGAAGUUUCUAAAAUGAUAAAUAUUCUUUGCAUUAAGGUUGUCUAGAACCAUUGUUAUGUCAUGCUGCCAUAUGUCAUUCAAUAGCAGCAAACUAAAUGGAGAAUCAACUGCAAUCAAAUUUACUUUUAAAAACAAUCAUUUAGGUAGUUAAUCAAAGUGAUUUUAUAUUAUGCUACUGGAACUCUUCUUCUGAAUUAAUAGAUUUAAUUGAAGAUAUGAACUGUGGUCAUGAAUUUACUAAUCAUUUCGACAAAUAGUUAAUAUGUAGCUAUGUUCAAUUUGCUAAUAAUGUUCUUUAUCUUCUCAUAUUCAUAUUCCGCUUGAGUCUUUUUGCUCUUUUUUUUACAAUUUCUACUACCAUUCCUAUUAUUGUUUAUCUUUUUUUGACAUCUCAGUUAUUUUUUUCCUUUCUCGAGGGGUUAUUAAAUUGGCAAUUGUCAGUUUUUUUUCCUUUCAAUGUGAAGACAAGGCUUUUUUUAGUUGACUCUUUUGUAUCCCUUUGUUAGUUUAUAGUUUUUUAUGCAAUACUUAGAUGUACAUGUGGUAUGCCUUUUAAUUAUCUAGGUGAGAAGCAUUCCUUGGCCUGAUAUGAGUUUAUUAAUAUGCUUUUGUUGUCCUUAGGGAAGCCAAUCUUCUGCAUGUCCUUAUAAUUUGUUUUUUGCUUUUAUAUAUUCGAGAUUGGAUAUGGACAAUGAAAGGUUGACUUGAGUCAUGCCUUUUGGUGUGUUGAUAAAUCAAGUGGUGCGGCCUUCUUGAGCAGUGCAAGACAUUUUUUCUGUCAUUACAGAAAUUUCAUCUUGGUUUUCUACUUGAUGAUGCUUCAAUAAUACGGGUUUCUACUUAAUUAGUAGAGUUGAUUUGGUUUGUAUUGUUCCAAGUUUGUUUUUUGUUUUUGAUUUGUUUAGUGAGGAGUCUAGAACCGGCAUGGUCUUGGUUGUUUUGUGUAUUUACAUAGUUGCUCUUUUGUAUACAGGACUCUGUAUCUGUUUUUCAAAUAUAUCAUGUAUUAAGAUGUGUUCUUCAUAAA